UUGGUACUCUGGGGGGCCACAGAAGGAGUGGUCUCGGCACGGCCGCUGCCAGGCUUUUCCUGCGAAUCCUUCA
This 73-nucleotide long non-coding RNA is filed under the name Eptatretus burgeri (inshore hagfish). RNAcentral describes it as "Mammalian CPEB3 ribozyme (ENSEBUG00000000075.1)". It matches the Rfam family "Mammalian CPEB3 ribozyme". From Rfam's summary of the family: The mammalian CPEB3 ribozyme is a self cleaving RNA located in the second intron of the CPEB3 gene which belongs to a family of genes regulating messenger RNA polyadenylation. This ribozyme is highly conserved and found only in mammals. Lineage: Eukaryota; Metazoa; Chordata; Myxini; Myxiniformes; Myxinidae. The record is from Rfam by way of RNAcentral.